Thunnus maccoyii (southern bluefin tuna) is the source of this 469-nucleotide long non-coding RNA. RefSeq lists it as uncharacterized. The transcript is spliced from 2 exons. The record is from RefSeq and is a predicted model, not a curated record. Lineage: Eukaryota; Metazoa; Chordata; Actinopteri; Scombriformes; Scombridae.
AGCCCUCGUCCUCGUCCAGAACCAGGCAGCAGCUGGGCUUCAGCUCCUCGUCCGACCUGAGAACCAGCGGUGGAAAGUAACUAAUUUUGUGUUUGAGGAGGCUGCUAACAGCAGCACAGGGAGGGAAAGUUUAUCUGCAGUUUCUGCUGACGAGUUGUUUCCCCACCAGGUGACCAGGUGCCUUUGAUGUCACCCAUAGGUUUCCAACAGGACACAAUGUUAAGCCAGGUGGCAGGUGGCAAAUGGGACCUGCAGCUUCAGGCUCCAUGGAAACAGAGAUGGUACCCAUGGAAACAUCAAACAAAGAGGCACUGCUGCCUCCUGUUUCAGGUCAGCUCAGAUCAGCAGACUGAACCUCAUCAGAACUAACAAAACUGCUAAAAAAUUAUGUUUCUAUGGAGGAUAAAAAAAUGACUAAUUCAUCAACAUUGAAAUGAAUACACAAAUAAAUAAAUACAACACAAAUCUA